This is a long non-coding RNA of Oncorhynchus tshawytscha (Chinook salmon), 606 nucleotides long. NCBI's taxonomy places the organism in Eukaryota, Metazoa, Chordata, Actinopteri, Salmoniformes, Salmonidae. The record is from Ensembl.
GAGAGACUGAAGGACAGGGGUGUGGAGGUAAAGAGAGAGACUGAAGGACAGGGGUGUGGAGGUAAAGAGAGAGAGACUGAAGGACAGGGGUGUGGAGGUAAAAGAGAGAGACUGAAGGAUAUGGGUGCGGAGGUAAAGAGAGAGACUGAAGGACAGGGGUGCGGAGGUAAAGAGAGAGAGACUGAAGGACAGGGGUGUUGAGGUAAAGAGAGAGAGACAGAAGGACAGGGGUGUGGAGGUAAAGAGAGAGACUGAAGGACAGGGGUGUGGAGGUAAAGAGAGAAAGACUGAAACCCAGAGGUGUGGAGGUAAAGAGAGAGAGACAGAAGGACAGGGGUGUUGAGGUAAAGAGAGAGAGACUGAAGGACAGGGGUGUGGAGGUAAAGAGAGAGAGACUGAAGGACAGGGGUGUGGAGGUAAAGAGAGAGAGACUGAAGGACAGGGGUGUGGAGGGAAAGAGAGAGACUGAAGGACAGGGGUGUGGAGGGAAAGAGAGAGACUGAAGGACAGGGGUGUGGAGGUAAAGAGAGAAAGACUGAAACCCAGAGGUGUGGAGGUAAAGAGAGAGAGACAGAAGGACAGGGGUGUUGAGGUAAAGAGAGAGAG